This 115-nucleotide small nucleolar RNA is filed under the name Procavia capensis (Cape rock hyrax). Lineage: Eukaryota; Metazoa; Chordata; Mammalia; Hyracoidea; Procaviidae. The record is from RNAcentral.
CCCUGAUGAUGAGUUGCCAUGCUAAUACUGAGCCACCAGACCAGGUAGGGCAGUGUUGCCCUGGUUUGGGUGCCAGUGAGUUUAACAAAACUUCUCAUGUGGAGACCUGAGGGGU